Molecule: ribosomal RNA, 441 nt
Filed under: uncultured bacterium
Lineage: Bacteria
Description: partial 16S ribosomal RNA
Rfam family: Bacterial small subunit ribosomal RNA
Source: RNAcentral
UCUACGGGGGGCAGCAGUGGGGAAUAUUGCACAAUGGGGGAAACCCUGAUGCAGCAACGCCGCGUGAAGGAAGACGGUUUUCGGAUUGUAAACUUCUGUUCUUAGUGAAGAAUAAUGACGGUAGCUAAGGAUCAAGCCACGGCUAACUACGUGCCAGCAGCCGCGGUAAUACGUAGGUGGCAAGCGUUGUCCGGAAUUACUGGGUGUAAAGGGAGCGCAGGCGGCAGCGCAAGCCAGGAGUGAAAGCCCGGGGCCCAACCCCGGGACUGCUCUUGGAACUGCGCGGCUGGAGUGCAGGAGGGGCAGGCGGAAUUCCUGGUGUAGCGGUGAAAUGCGUAGAUUUCAGGAGGAACACCGGUGGCGAAGGCGGCCUGCUGGACUGCGACUGACGUUGAGGCCCGAAAGCGUGGGGAGCAAACAGGAUUAGAUACCCUUGUAGUC